AGGCUUAACACAUGCAAGUCGAGGGGCAGCAUUUCAGUUUGCUUGCAAACUGGAGAUGGCGACCGGCGCACGGGUGAGUAACACGUAUCCAACCUGCCGAUAACUCGGGGAUAGCCUUUCGAAAGAAAGAUUAAUACCCGAUGGUAUAAUCAGACCGCAUGGUUUGAUUAUUAAAGAAUUUCGGUUAUCGAUGGGGAUGCGUUCCAUUAGGCAGUUGGUGAGGUAACGGCUCACCAAACCUUCGAUGGAUAGGGGUUCUGAGAGGAAGGUCCCCCACAUUGGAACUGAGACACGGUCCAAACUCCUACGGGAGGCAGCAGUGAGGAAUAUUGGUCAAUGGGCGCAGGCCUGAACCAGCCAAGUAGCGUGAAGGAUGACUGCCCUAUGGGUUGUAAACUUCUUUUAUAUGGGAAUAAAGUUUUCCACGUGUGGAAUUUUGUAUGUACCAUAUGAAUAAGGAUCGGCUAACUCCGUGCCAGCAGCCGCGGUAAUACGGAGGAUCCGAGCGUUAUCCGGAUUUAUUGGGUUUAAAGGGAGCGUAGGUGGACAGUUAAGUCAGUUGUGAAAGUUUGCGGCUCAACCGUAAAAUUGCAGUUGAUACUGGCUGUCUUGAGUACAGUAGAGGUGGGCGGAAUUCGUGGUGUAGCGGUGAAAUGCUUAGAUAUCACGAAGAACUCCGAUUGCGAAGGCAGCUCACUGGACUGCAACUGACACUGAUGCUCGAAAGUGUGGGUAUCAAACAGGAUUAGAUACCCUGGUAGUCCACACAGUAAACGAUGAAUACUCGCUGUUUGCGAUAUACAGUAAGCGGCCAAGCGAAAGCAUUAAGUAUUCCACCUGGGGAGUACGCCGGCAACGGUGAAACUCAAGGGAAUUGACGGGGGCCCGCACAAGCGGAGGAACAUGUGGUUUAAUUCGAUGAUACGCGAGGAACCUUACCCGGGCUUAAAUUGCAUUUGAAUAAUCUGGAAACAGGUUAGCCGCAAGGCAAAUGUGAAGGUGCUGCAUGGUUGUCGUCAGCUCGUGCCGUGAGGUGUCGGCUUAAGUGCCAUAACGAGCGCAACCCUUAUCUUUAGUUACUAACAGGUCAUGCUGAGGACUCUAGAGAGACUGCCGUCGUAAGAUGUGAGGAAGGUGGGGAUGACGUCAAAUCAGCACGGCCCUUACGUCCGGGGCUACACACGUGUUACAAUGGGGGGUACAGAAGGCAGCUACCUGGUGACAGGAUGCUAAUCCCAAAAGCCUCUCUCAGUUCGGAUCGAAGUCUGCAACCCGACUUCGUGAAGCUGGAUUCGCUAGUAAUCGCGCAUCAGCCAUGGCGCGGUGAAUACGUUCCCGGGCCUUGUACACACCGCCCGUCAAGCCAUGAAAGCCGGGGGUACCUGAAGUACGUAACCGCAAGGAGCGUCCUAGGGUAAAACUGGUAAUUGGGGCUAAGUCA
RNAcentral lists this ribosomal RNA (1441 nucleotides) under uncultured organism. RNAcentral describes it as "SSU rRNA". It matches the Rfam family "Bacterial small subunit ribosomal RNA". The record is from RNAcentral.